UACAGAGGUCUCAAGCGUUGUUCGGAUUCAUUGGGCGUAAAGGGUGCGUAGGCGGCGGGGCAAGUCGGAUGUGAAAUCUCAGGGCUCAACCCUGAAACUGCAUUCGAUACUGCCGUGCUUGAGGACUGGAGAGGAGACUGGAAUUUACGGUGUAGCGGUGAAAUGCGUAGAUAUCGUAAGGAAGACCAGUGGCGAAGGCGGGUCUCUGGACAGUUCCUGACGCUGAGGCACGAAGGCCAGGGGAGCAAACGGG
RNAcentral lists this ribosomal RNA (253 nucleotides) under uncultured bacterium. RNAcentral's name for it is "partial 16S ribosomal RNA". It matches the Rfam family "Bacterial small subunit ribosomal RNA", at positions 524 to 776 of the family's 1533-position model. The record is from RNAcentral.